UACGGAGGGGGCUAGCGUUGUUCGGAAUUACUGGGCGUAAGGCGCACGUAGGCGGCUUUGUAAGUUAGAGGUGAAAGCCCAGGGCUUAACCCUGGAAUUGCCUUUAAGACUGCAUCGCUAGAAUCGUGGAGAGGUGAGUGGAAUUCCGAGUGUAGAGGUGAAAUUCGUAGAUAUUCGGAAGAACACCAGUGGCGAAGGCGACUCACUGGACACGUAUUGACGCUGAGGCGCGAAAGCGUGGGGAGCAAACAGG
This 253-nucleotide ribosomal RNA is filed under the name uncultured bacterium. RNAcentral's name for it is "partial 16S ribosomal RNA". It matches the Rfam family "Bacterial small subunit ribosomal RNA", at positions 524 to 776 of the family's 1533-position model. The record is from RNAcentral.